AUCCAACUGACGAGUCCCAAAUAAGAAGAAACGCACAUCCUGGAU
Molecule: non-coding RNA, 45 nt
Organism: Schistosoma mansoni
Lineage: Eukaryota; Metazoa; Platyhelminthes; Trematoda; Strigeidida; Schistosomatidae
Source: Rfam